AACGUAGGAGACGAACGUUAUCCGGAGUUACUGGGCGUAAAGGGCGUGUAGGCGGCGUUCUAAGUUCGGCGUGAAAUCGUUCGGCUCAACCGGGCGAUGUCGUCGGAGACUGGGAUGCUCGAGGGCGGUAGAGGCGUGUGGAAUUCCGGGUGUAGUGGUGAAAUGCGUAGAGAUCCGGAGGAACACCAGUGGCGAAGGCGACACGCUGGGCCGCACCUGACGCUAAUGCGCGACAGCAUGGGGAGCGAACGGG
This 253-nucleotide ribosomal RNA is filed under the name uncultured bacterium. RNAcentral describes it as "partial 16S ribosomal RNA". It matches the Rfam family "Bacterial small subunit ribosomal RNA", at positions 524 to 776 of the family's 1533-position model. The record is from RNAcentral.